Molecule: long non-coding RNA, 434 nt
Organism: Brienomyrus brachyistius
Lineage: Eukaryota; Metazoa; Chordata; Actinopteri; Osteoglossiformes; Mormyridae
Exons: 2
Source: RefSeq, a predicted model, not a curated record
AAAAAGGAAGAAAGAAAAAGAAAUCCUGGCUGAAGAAGUUUUUUGAAAAAAAAAUUAAAGGAAAAAAGGCAAUGGUGGUGGAGAGCCAGGCAGUGGUGGAAAAGUGCAAGGAAAUGGAGGAAAAGUGCAAGGCAAUGGAGGAGGAGUGCAAGGAUUGGUGGAGGAGUGCAAGGAUUUGUGAAGGAAAGAAAGGCAAUGGUGAAGGAAAGAAAGGCAAUGGUGAAGGAAAGAAAGGCAAUGGUGAAGGAAAGAAAAGCAAUGGUGAAGGAAAAAGGCAAUGGUGGAGGAGAGUAUGGCAAUGAUGGAGUACAAGGCAAGGGAGAUGAUGCAAGAUGAGGAAGCCAGUAGUGGAUGAGACUGAACAGAACAUUGACUAUCAGUACUAAAAUAUGUAAAUACUUGUAAAUACUUGUAAAUAAAGCAUUAAAAAUGAA